Molecule: non-coding RNA, 24 nt
Filed under: Salmo salar (Atlantic salmon)
Lineage: Eukaryota; Metazoa; Chordata; Actinopteri; Salmoniformes; Salmonidae
Also listed under: 5 other names
Gene: ssa-miR-144-5p
Source: miRBase by way of RNAcentral
GGAUAUCAUCAUAUACUGUAAGUU